Molecule: ribosomal RNA, 465 nt
Filed under: Vreelandella stevensii
Lineage: Bacteria; Pseudomonadati; Pseudomonadota; Gammaproteobacteria; Oceanospirillales; Halomonadaceae
Description: partial 16S ribosomal RNA
Rfam family: Bacterial small subunit ribosomal RNA
Source: RNAcentral
CCUACGGGCGGCUGCAGUGGGGAAUAUUGGACAAUGGGCGAAAGCCUGAUCCAGCCAUGCCGCGUGUGUGAAGAAGGCCUUCGGGUUGUAAAGCACUUUCAGUGGGGAAGAAAGCCUUGGGGCUAAUACCCUCGAGGAAGGACAUCACCCACAGAAGAAGCACCGGCUAACUCCGUGCCAGCAGCCGCGGUAAUACGGAGGGUGCGAGCGUUAAUCGGAAUUACUGGGCGUAAAGCGCGCGUAGGCGGUCUGAUAAGCCGGUUGUGAAAGCCCCGGGCUCAACCUGGGAACGGCAUCCGGAACUGUCAGGCUAGAGUGCAGGAGAGGAAGGUAGAAUUCCCGGUGUAGCGGUGACAUGCGUAGAGAUCGGGAGGAAUACCAGUGGCGAAGGCGGCCUUCUGGACUGACACUGACGCUGAGGUGCGAAAGCGUGGGUAGCAAACAGGAUUAGAUACCCCUGUAGUC